Molecule: small nuclear RNA, 86 nt
Filed under: Jaculus jaculus (lesser Egyptian jerboa)
Lineage: Eukaryota; Metazoa; Chordata; Mammalia; Rodentia; Dipodidae
Description: U4 spliceosomal RNA (ENSJJAG00000004010.1)
Rfam family: U4 spliceosomal RNA (bases 1-77)
About the family: U4 small nuclear RNA (U4 snRNA) is a component of the major U2-dependent spliceosome.
Source: RNAcentral
AGCUUUGUGCAGCAGCAGUAUCACAGCCAAUGAGGUUUAUCUGAGGCAUGAUUAUUGCUAAUUGAAAAAAUCUUGUAGGUUGGGGC